GGGCGGUUACCCAAGUGGCCAACGGGAGCUGACUGUAAAUUAGCUGGCAGAUGCCUUCGGAGGUUCGAAUCCUUCACCGCCCA
This 83-nucleotide transfer RNA is filed under the name Anaerolineae bacterium. RNAcentral's name for it is "tRNA-Tyr". It matches the Rfam family "tRNA". From Rfam's summary of the family: Transfer RNA (tRNA) molecules are approximately 80 nucleotides in length. Their secondary structure includes four short double-helical elements and three loops (D, anti-codon, and T loops). Further hydrogen bonds mediate the characteristic L-shaped molecular structure. tRNAs have two regions of fundamental functional importance: the anti-codon, which is responsible for specific mRNA codon recognition, and the 3' end, to which the tRNAs corresponding amino acid is attached (by aminoacyl-tRNA synthetases). tRNAs cope with the degeneracy of the genetic code in two manners: having more than one tRNA (with a specific anti-codon) for a particular amino acid; and 'wobble' base-pairing, i.e. permitting non-standard base-pairing at the 3rd anti-codon position. The record is from RNAcentral. Lineage: Bacteria; Bacillati; Chloroflexota; Anaerolineae.